Molecule: small RNA, 2514 nt
Filed under: Pongo abelii (Sumatran orangutan)
Lineage: Eukaryota; Metazoa; Chordata; Mammalia; Primates; Hominidae
Description: processed transcript
Source: RNAcentral
AGCCAGCCAUGCCUCCAGUUCAGGUACGUGGCAUUGCUAAGCUCAGAACAGGACUUGCCAGUGUCUAAAUGAAAAAGAGGAGAGAUCUCAAGAGGGAUAACCAAUUGGCUGGCAAAGUAACAAAUGAAAAGUAACCUGACUCUAUUGACCCGCUUAACCCUGCAUGGGGGGGAAGGAUGGAAAGGAGCAGCUGUUUGCUUUGAAACAGUGGAACAGUUUUGCAGCCUUAGAAAAUGGCAUGUAACACACCUAACCAAAGACAGCGGACUCUGUCAACAACAGGAGAAGCUCUAUACGAAAUUCUUGGUCUGCAUAAGGGAGCAUCAAAUGAAGAAAUUAAGAAAACCUACAGGCUGGAGAAUCCCUUCACCUAAAGUCACCUGACUCCUCAGCUACUACCAACAAGGAGUGUUGGGAGCCUCAGAAGCAGGAGACAAACCAAACAAACCAAGAAGCACCGUAAAGACUCUGAAAAGUAGAUUGUUAUUGGAACCACUCACAAAAGUAGGCUAGAACCUGCAUGCUAAACCUAAAGAAGGGGACUGCCUGCUAAAAUAAAACAACUUAAAUAGAACCCAGAAUCUGCCAACAUGAUAGCCAAAAUAUCCAGAUACAAACAAAUCACUCACCCUACAAAGAAGCAAGAAAAUCACAACUUGAAUAAGCAAAGACAAUCAGCUAACUCCUGUGCUGAGAUGAACUAGAUGUUGCAACUAUCUGAAAAGCAUUUUAAAGUAACCAUCAUAGGCCGGGCGCGGUGGCUCUCGCCUGUAAUCCCAGCACUUUGGGAGGCCGAGGCGGGCGGAUCACGAGGUCAGGAGAUUGAGACCAUCCUGGCUAACACAGUGAAACCCCGUCUCUACUAAAAACACAAAAAUUAGCCGGGCUUAGUGGCAGGCGCCUGUAGUCCCAGCUACUCAGGAGGCUGAGGCAGGAGAAUGGCGUGAACCCGGGAGGCGGAGAUUGCAGUGAGCCGAGAUCGCGCCAAUGCGCUCUAGCCUGGGCGACAGAGCAAGACUCCGUCUCAAAAAAUAAAUAAAUAAAUAAAUACAUAAAUACAUAAACCAUCAUAAAAAAUUCAACAAGUAAUGACAAAUUCUCUUGAAGCAAGUAAAAAAAAUGGAAAUUCUCAGUGAAGAAAUAGGAAUUAACAAAAAAGAACGAAAUAGGAAUUAACAAAAAAGAACCAAAUGGAAACUAUAGAACGAAAAAAUAACAUAAAUAAUAAAACUAACUGGAUGAGCUUAAUAGUGCAGUGGAGAUGACAGAGAAUAGAAAUUGAGGACAGAUCAAUAGAAUGUUCCCGAUCUGAACAACCGAUAAACAAUAAACUGAAAACAGAGUCUCAGAAACCUGUGGGACAAUAACAAAGAUCCAACAUGUAUAGCAUUGACAUCCUAGAAGGAGAAGAGUGAAACAAUGGGACUAAAAGAGUACUCAAAGAAGUAAUGGCUGGAAAUUCCCCACAUUUGGCAAAAGAUAGAAACCUACAGAUUCAAGAGGCUGAGAGAACUCCGACAGGAUAAACCCAAAGCAAUCAAUGCCAAGAAACAUUAUAAUUAAACUUCUGGAAACUACAGACAAAGAAAAAAAUUUGAAAGCAGCCAGGGAGAAACAAUGCAUGGCCAAACACCCAUUUGAAUGGCAGCAUAUUUCUCAUCUAAAGCAACAGAAACCCAAAGGAAGUGACAAAACAUUUUUCAAGUGAUGAAAGAGAAGAACUGUCAACAGAAAAUUCUGUAUCUGGUGAAACUAUAUUUCAGGAGUGAAUGGGGAAAUACGUUCUCACAUAAACGGAAUCUAAAAGAAUUGUCACUAGCAGAUCUCCUCUUAAAGAAUGGCUAAAGGAAGUUCUUCAAAAGAAAGGAAAUGAUAAAGGAAGGAUCUUAGACGAUCAGGAAGAAGAACAAGGGAGAAAGCAGAAAUAUGGAAAAUUGGCCCUGAAACACCAUCCAGACAAGAAUCCAGAUGAUCCAGCUGCUACUGAGAAGUUUAAAGAAAUCAACAACGCCCACGCCAUACUUACCGACAUUUCAAAGAGAAGCAUAUACGACAAGUACGGAUCGCUGGGACUCUACGUGGCCGAGCAGUUUGGAGACGAAAACGUUAACACCUACUUCAUGCUGUCGAGCUGGUGGGCAAAGGCCCUGUUUGUCAUCAUUGGCCUCUUGACGGGCUGCUAUUUUUGCUGCUGCCUGUGCUGCUGCUGCAACUGCUGCUGUGGACAUUGCCGGCCCGAGCCGUCAGUGUCAGAAGAAGACUUCUAUGUGUCCCCAGAGGAUCUGGAGGAGCAGAUCAAGUCCGACAUGGAAAAAGAUGUGGACUUUCCAGUUUUUCUCCAGCCUACAAAUGCAAAUGAGAAAACACAGCUAAUCAAAGAAGAAUCUCGAAGUUAUUGCACAGACUCUAGAUAUUGAGCCCUCAGAGAGUCCACAGUCCCUCCUCUCAGUUCAGUCUUGUCUCCAGAUGGUCGUAGGGGAGCGUGUGGGGCAUAAAGUGCUGUGAACUUUUCCA